GCUUUGUGGGAACUAUGGUGUUGAACGCUGAGCUGUAGUCAAUGAACAGCAUUCCCACAUAGGUGUUCCUUUUGUCCAAGUGGGAAAGGGCAGUGUGGAGUGUGAUUGAGAUUGCGUCAUCUGUGGAUCUGUUGGGGCGGUAUGUGAAUUGUAGUGGGUCUAGGGUUUCCGGGAUGAUGAUGUUGAUGUGAGCCAUAUCCUGUUCAAAGGCACUUAAAUAUUUUGUCUUGCCCAUUCACCCUCAGAUUUGCACACAUACACAAUCCUUGUCUCAAUUGUCUUAAAAAAAACAUUUUUCCUCCCUUUCAUCUACACUGAUUGAAUUGUACUGUAUUUAACAAGUGACAUCAAUAAGGGAUCAAAGCAUUCACCUGGUCAGUCUAUGUCAUGGAAAGAGCAGGUGUUCUUAAUGUUUUGUUCACAGUGUAUAUGACUGAGACAUUAUUCUGAUUGUUCAGAUGCCAUGUCCUCCGCAACAUUUGCCCACACUUGCUGCAUGAGCCUGGUUUUUGCUCUCUGUGGUUUUCCUGUGCACAUGCUCCACAUCUACUUCUCCAUUCAAACACUCCCACUGUCUCUGUCACAUACACCCUACCUUGUGAAAUCAUACUUACAGUCUGAAACACUCUGUAUAAUUACAAUGUUCAUCCCUGAUAUGGCAGCUGGUUGUCUGUUUUUGGUCAUCGUCCUUCUAUAUACCUUUCAAUACAUCAAAGCCCAAGUUCAGAAACCAGUGAUUAGUACCAGUCAUAAUGAGGAGGAUUUCAUCAUCACCUGUUUGAUUCCUGGAAUUGCUGGUAACGACACCUGCUGUAACCUGUAUAUUGGAGAGAAGAAUAAGCCAUUCUUGAAAACACGGAUAUGGAAAAAGAAAACCCAAAAAACCAAGCAAUGGUACUGUACAUUCUCUGUGACCGAAGACGAUCUGAUCAGACAUCUACAGUCAGUGAGGAGUAAGGCGGUGAGCUGUGACUACAGAGUGAACUCAGGAACAAACUCUCUCUCUCCACGUAGUGAUGGAUACAGCUUUACAGAUCUGGUGGAAGUUCACAUCAGUGAUCCAACAACUAUUACAGCAGGAUUGACCUCUCCUUUGACCCCCAGCACAGCAGUGAAUCCUACGUCAGGUUGGACUGUUCUUUCUACUUUGACCACUGACACCGCAAAGAUUUCAACUGAAGGAGGUCAAAGCUACACAGAAAGUGAGGUUUUUUCAAACAGUCAAGAAAGCGUUCCAGCAUGUUCAACUGUUGCUUCUACUUUGACCCUUGACAUCACAGUGAGACCAACUACCAGUUUGACCUCUCCUUUGACCUCCAGCACAGCAGUGACUACUACAUCAGGUUCGACUGUUCGUUCAACUUUGACUACUGACACCACACUAAGUCCAACGGAAGGAAAAGGCUCCACAGAAAGUAUUCUGUGUAUGUAUCCUUCUCUAGCUGACUACCUUUCUUUUAAAAUACAUAUGAAAACAAACAAAUGUAUCAGACAAAUAAUAAUGUGGUCUUUAAAACCUAGUCUUGAUGUACUGACUCUGGGUAAUAACCUCUUCUACUGUUCCCAAACAGCGGGGCAGGUUUGGCAGGCAGCAGUGGCUGUGGUUUCUGGAGUGGGUGUGUUCCUGGUGGGAUUGACUGCUUUCUGUCUCUGCAGGAGCACCAAGAAAAACAAUUCUCAGAGACCUACAGCCAGACAGGAUGAUGACAACCAAUAUGAUUUGGUGUUGGGAGCCAUGAGCAGUGCAGCCAUGAUGGAUUCUGGGGAAGCUGGGAUAUACAGUCUGAUCACCUCUGUACCAGCCACGUUUUUGCCCUCAGGUCCUGUGCAGGUAUCUGCACAUGAAGAUGUCGAUUCAGGGAAUACAGGGAUCUAUAGGCUGAUCACUGCACCACGCACAUCUAUACCUUCAGGCCCUAUUGAAGAGAAUGGACAGUCAUUUGAAAACUACACAGUAAGUAGAAUCACCAACUGUGUUAUGUGUGUGACUUUCAGUUUCAGAUAUGUAUUACAUCCAUAA
RNAcentral lists this long non-coding RNA (2020 nucleotides) under Oncorhynchus kisutch (coho salmon). RNAcentral describes it as "lncRNA (ENSOKIG00005013395.1)". The record is from RNAcentral. Lineage: Eukaryota; Metazoa; Chordata; Actinopteri; Salmoniformes; Salmonidae.